RNAcentral lists this long non-coding RNA (2316 nucleotides) under Gallus gallus (chicken). The record is from RNAcentral. Lineage: Eukaryota; Metazoa; Chordata; Aves; Galliformes; Phasianidae.
UAAGGAAUGCAUCAGAAGGGGAGCUGGCUAGAUGCUUACUAUCAGCCUCAGUACUUGAGAAGAUCAGGAUAAAGAACAGGCUAAUGGAUUCUGAGAGACCCUUGUGGCAUGGUACACACCAGCUGCAAUCCAAACAGUGACAGAAAAGGCACAUUGGAAGGAGGAAGAGAAAUCUCAAGCUCAACUUUUUAUAAGUAUAUACUAAUAAAAACCACACAACUCCAACUACGGCUACUCCACAGGAAGCAAUGGCAUAGCAAGCAGUCACAGUGGCUGGAGCUGGGAUUAGCACAGCCAGCAAGGGAGCUUUAGAGCACUGAGUAAUGCACUGUUUUCAUUCUGGGCUACUGUCUUAAUCUGGUACUCUCAAGCCUCUCAGCUUUGCUCAGUUCUGGAUAAGAGAGGCAGGACUGAAGCUCAAGGAAGCGUCAUACUUUCAAGGCAUCCCAGUAAACCCCGAAGGGUUUUUCUCUGCUAACCUCCACACUCCAGCCAAGACUUGCGUGUUGGUGUGAUGCUGUACAGAGAGGACAAGGUAAGGCAAGGUGAGGAAGGUGGCUGAGUAACAGCAUGCACACACAUACAGGUGUGCACACGUGUGCAAGUGCUUGACAAAGGUGGUCUUCCCCCGUGCCAAAGGAUAGCAACACGAAGCCUUCGUGAAACAGCGCUUAUUCCUUCCUUUGGAACAGCAUAACCUGAGAAUGAAACCCCAGGUCCUGUGUCUGACCACCCCACAGGCAGGCCUUAUUGUCAGAGUCACCACCUCAAGUAAAUCAAAAUCCAUGCCCACAGCCGUGGCAAGGCAGCAGCAGAACCAGGAGCAGGACCUGACCUUCCCCUCUCCCAGGUCCCUCUCUUACCUGUGUGCCCCUACAGUGGCUUUAGCAAAGGGAACACACGUGGACAUCGCCCCCGUACCACUGGAGAUCAAAGCCAUGACAGAUUUGUUUAUUGCAACACUGUGGGCUGCUCCUUGCCAAAACCAAACAGGUUUUAUAAAAUGGAACCAAGAAAUCCUUUUGAAAUGGUCACUGACUGCCACUCAUUCCAAUGGCCUUUUAAUGAACUGGUGAAGCCAGUGCACAAUGCGUGCCAUAAGAUGUACUUCGAAAAUAAACCUCAGGACACAGUGUUUGGACGACAUAAGACAAUCUUCACAUAGCUAAGAACCAUAUGUUUAUUUGUAAGAGACAUGCAGAAAUGCAUUUUCUACAUUAGAGGUCAACCACCUGCACUAUUAUCCUCUGCUAGUGCAGGGAAAGGUCUUGUUUGCACGUUACAAAUACUUGCUAGCCACAGAUUGCAGUUGCCUCCCAAUGAAGCUGGUGGUACUCCAGUCACUGCUGCUGGUGAGACUGUGAGCAAACAGGGGCCACAACAGCCCACAGUAAGCUCAGUGAUGGAACAGCCGAAGGUUGGUGUGGAUAAGAGUUAUUCCCAGCUCAUUGCAAGCUUCAAUCACAACCUCGUCGGCAGCAGAGCCAGAUGGGGCAACGAUGAACUGAACUCCACUCCGUUUGGCUCUGUCAACAUUAUCCCUAAAAGGGAAGAAUGCGUCGGAGCUGAGGGAGACAGCAGUCAGCUUGGCAAUCCACUGCUUCUUCUCAGCUUCUGUUAGCUGUGCGGGCACCUCUUCAAACAUGGCCUGCCACUUCACCAGGUCCUCAUCCUCUCCAAUGGUGCCAGUGACGUACUGAUCGAUGGCGUUGGAGACCUCUGCUCUCUUCACUCCUGCUUUGAACUUCAUGGAGAGCACCCGUGGGUGGUGCCGCAGCCACCAGCUGUUGGCCUUGUCACCAGCCAGGCGCGUGCAGUGGAUGCGGGACUGCUGGCCGGCCCCGAUGCCAAUGACCUGCCCGUCCUUGGCGUAGCACACUGAGUUGGACUGGGUGUAUUUGACAGCAAUGCUGGCAACAAUCAGGUCUCGGACAGCAGACUCAGGCAGAGUUUUAUUCUUUGUAACAAUGUUCUUGAACAAGGACCUGUCAAUGACUGCAUUGUUCCUCUUCUGCAUGAGCUGCAAUCCAUAGAGGGUUCGAAUCUCAUUGUCAUCUGGCUCAUAAUUAGGGUCCAUCUAAAAGCCAACAGACAGGGCAAUAAAACACUGAGCUCUUCAAAGCUCAAGUAACAGCUUAGGUUAGAACAUCCUCAAAAGCAUCCAGAAGAAGUGAACUGUUUAGAGAAAGCAGUGUUAGAACAUCAGGAGGAGUUAGAAUUAAUUGGAGCACUGAGGUCUCAACAGCAGAAGGUGACAACGAAGGAGUGAUGAGGGACAGAGCAGCUUACAUGCUUAUACACAACCAUCCAUGUUGA